This 63-nucleotide transfer RNA is filed under the name Hirondellea gigas. RNAcentral describes it as "tRNA-Glu". Lineage: Eukaryota; Metazoa; Arthropoda; Malacostraca; Amphipoda; Lysianassidae. The record is from RNAcentral.
UGUUUUUAUAGUGUAAUAUUAACAUAUAGUUUUUUCGAGACUAAGCUAUUUUUUUUAAAAACA